Molecule: non-coding RNA, 29 nt
Filed under: Rattus norvegicus (Norway rat)
Lineage: Eukaryota; Metazoa; Chordata; Mammalia; Rodentia; Muridae
Source: RNAcentral
ACCUGCAUACCCUGUCAAAGACAGUCUUG